RNAcentral lists this unclassified non-coding RNA (89 nucleotides) under Pseudomonas granadensis. The record is from RNAcentral. Lineage: Bacteria; Pseudomonadati; Pseudomonadota; Gammaproteobacteria; Pseudomonadales; Pseudomonadaceae.
UGUAGGAGUGAGCCUGCUCGCGAUAGCGGUGGCUCAGGUGUUGAUGUGUUGCCUGACACACCGCUAUCGCGAGCAGGCUCACUCCUACA